Oxyura jamaicensis (ruddy duck) is the source of this 500-nucleotide long non-coding RNA. RefSeq lists it as uncharacterized. Lineage: Eukaryota; Metazoa; Chordata; Aves; Anseriformes; Anatidae. The transcript is spliced from 2 exons. The record is from RefSeq and is a predicted model, not a curated record.
AGCCUCCUUGCUGGGGCUGGAGGAGCCCCGAAGAUGCUCACGACUUGUGGCAGCUGCUGUGUGAGGACAGGGCAGCGAUGUGGUCCCCACAACCCUCAGCUUGUCCUGGAUCUGCACAAGGCUGUGCAGGAAAGGGCACCUCAUUUCCCCAGAGACCAUGGUCAGCUUUGUUAGAACAACAGGUCUGUAGGUCCCUGCUCUACCCUGAGGAGUAAAUACAAGCCCUGGUGGCAGCACCAGCACGCGAGUUUGUAGCACACCAUAGCACAUACAGAUUAAAAAAAACCUUACUUGACACCUUCCUCUUUGCUACACCCACUGAGAAAUGUAGCCCAGAUUAAUGAUAUUUUUCCAAAGUUCCCAUUGCAUCUGUCUGUGCUGAAUUCAUAUGCAGAAGUCUAUACGAAGAAAUGAAUUGCUAGAAUUCCUAAUGAAUUUGGUUAUCAGAGAGGCCUUUCUAAUAAAGAUAAUAUACGUCAGCAGAGCUGGCAGGGUUUUUA